Xenopus laevis (African clawed frog) is the source of this 1078-nucleotide long non-coding RNA. RefSeq lists it as uncharacterized. The record is from RefSeq and is a predicted model, not a curated record. Lineage: Eukaryota; Metazoa; Chordata; Amphibia; Anura; Pipidae. The transcript is spliced from 9 exons.
GCAGCUCUAUAUUGCGGAAUAAUCGAAGCUCCCAAAGGCAUCGGCGAUCUCUUUUCUUAUUGCCAAGGAACCCUCGGAGGGAGGUGUUAGAAGUAGAUGUUCAUAACAGGGUCCAUCGUCGGAAAGUCCAACAUCCUCCGCAUCUCGAAGAUCACGAUGCCCAGAGACCACCAAUCUGCAGAUCUUGAAUACGGCAGCCUGGAGAGGACUUCGGGAGCCAUGUAGUCAUAGGUUCCAGUCAGGCUGCGUGUUCUGUCCCCAUAGCCAAUUCCUGCAAAAACAGUAACUGAUCUUCAGGGCAUACGAUCUUUUUGAUGCCGUGUGUUGCACAUGGAGAACCUGGAAUGAGAGAAUAUAUUGAGGGAAUUUUGAAGAAACACAGGAAGAUACAUGCAGAACCUCCAAACCCCUUGCAGAGAGCUCCAAGAAUCCAUCUUGCCCCCAACAUUGCAAGUUGCAGGUUGUACUGUAUCUUACUCUGGUUCCGUCGUCACAGCCGGUGGAAAGUCUUCUGCUGUGUUUUCUGGAUGAGUUGAGCCGAUGUUCACUUCAUCCGCAGACAUCUCACUAUAGGGAAAAUAAUCACUAAAACUGUUGGCCAAGCCCUCCAGCUCCAGUGAGGAGCAAAUCUGCUGGUGUCAGUAGCUGCUACUUCUCAAUCUCUCUCUGCACUGAAAUGUCACCAGGCUCAAGAUUUUAUUCUCCACUGGAGUGUUCGUGUGGGAAUUGUUCAGCAAGAGCAAAAUUCCAUUUGAACAUUGUUUUCAACUCCGAGGCUGUGGAUAAAAUCUCAGCUGGACUGAGGCUCUUCAGACCCAAGAUGUCUCCCGAAAGAGUGUACAUGCUGAUGAACAACUGCUGGUAAGAGUUUAUGGAAUGAAUUGACGCGCGGCACAGUCCGGAACUGAUCAGUGCAAGGGAGCCGGCUUAUGAAAAAAGAAUGUCAAUUGGACACUUUUGUAACACGUUAUGAGCACUUCAAGCACUUGCACAGCACUGGCAUCUUGUGGUGGAUUUUAGGAAUAUGCCAGUAAGAAGCAGAAGAAAAGAGAAGGAUGAAGCAGAAGGGAUAGAAUUG